Non-coding RNA from Oryctolagus cuniculus (rabbit), 1500 nucleotides. NCBI's taxonomy places the organism in Eukaryota, Metazoa, Chordata, Mammalia, Lagomorpha, Leporidae. The record is from RefSeq and is a predicted model, not a curated record.
UCAGCCCCUUGCAGCAUACUUUUUCCCUAUCAACAGUUAACUGCAACAAGAACCAAUGUGCAGAACAAUGGUCUUGAGGCUGGGCAAGAAUCCAGGCAGUCACCAGGAAGAUGUCAUUACCUUCUCAGCAUUAUAGGCUGUAGAAGUGCCUUUGAACCAAAGAUUCUAGCAGAUCAUUCCUGUGACUACUUAUAACAGCCCUCUCCACUUCUUCAGCCAUUUUAAGUGCAUCUACUUGUUGUGUCUUAUUCAUUAGAAGAUAACUUGGUUGGCAGUUAUUUCUUUGAUUUACUGGAAUACCAGGGAAUUGUGUACAGCUGGGGAGACAGAGAAAGGAUGCAAAGAAAACUAAGAGGCUUCCUGUCUUGCCAUGUGAUCAUCCCUCUACCAUUCGCCAGUUUCACCAGAUGGGAUACCCAAUCUUUUACUGCGAGCCUCCGAAACUGUGACCUGAAACAAACCUUCCUUCCUAAGAAGCCCCUUUCAGGUAAUUUAGUGAAAGUAAUGAAAAGCAUAUUAACACAGCAGACAAACUGAAAAGGUCGAGUUUUAAGUCUGAAGUGAUGUUUUAAGCUUUCUCAGCUCUGGUAAAUCAGCUACCGUUCUCCUAUGUACUUUUCAGCUUUCAAAAGUACGUUCACGUCAUCAUUGUCUCCUCUCUUCUUUAUGUUUUGGAUUUAGACUCUUCAUACUUCAUUUAUUGUUGUUUUACAGAGUGUCCAAAGGGCAUGGCAAUAAACACAUUCUUUCUACCAUCUUAAAGGGAAAUGCAAAAUGUCCUUUAUCCUUCUGCAUGGCUUUCAAGUAUCAUAUAAUGCAAAACUGACAUUAAAUAAUGAAAUAAUUCUAACUCUGGGAAUCCAUCUCUUUUUCUGGGAUAGGUUGUCUUUUGGACAAGAGAGGGAAAAUCACCAGAGAAUACACACAUCAGCUCUAAAACAAGUGUUCAUUAAAAAAAAUUCAGUAGAAUUUCAGAGUAGCAGGAAUGGGACCAGCACUGUGGCUCAGAGGGUUAAUUUAUUGCCUGUGAUGCCAGCAUUCCAUAUCUGAACAGUUUAGAAACCUGAUUGUUCUGCUUCCCGUCUAGUUCCCUCCUAACAUGCCUAGGAAUGCAGUGGAAGAUGGCCGAAGUACUUGGGUCCCUGCUGCCUAUAUGGAAGACCAGAAUGAAAUUCCUAGCUUCUGACUUCAGUCUGACCCAGCCCUAGGCAUUGAGGCCAUUUGGGGAGUGUGUCAGGGGAUAGAAGAUCUCUUUCCCUCUCCUUCUCCUUUUCCUUCUCCCUUUGUCACUCUGCCUUUCAAAUUAAAUAAAUAAAUCUUAAAAAAAGUAGUAGGCACGUGGGUACCUUUUGUCCAUUCACUCUUAACAAAGUGAGAUAUACUGUAUUAAAGGCACUUUUCAGCUGAAUGAUUAGGAAAGCACUGGCCCCUCUUCUAGAGUAGUAAGAGGCUGGGAUACUUGAGCAAAUGAUGUGAUGACUCUUGGCAGCAGCACUGCCC